CUCCCGCUCAUGCGGAGGCGAACCACUAUACAUCUUGUGUCAAUCUCUCUCUCUCUCUCUCUCUCUCUCUUUAUUUAUAGCUAACUAGAGAUCUCGCUCAAUCUCUAACGUUAACAUCUUGGGUUCUGGAUAGCCAGUGAUUGGGGCCUCUUUAUUGGCCUCCUUAUGGCUUGGAAUUAUGGGUUCAGGUUGCUUGAAAUGAAUAUAGACUCUGUCAAGUUUUUCCUCAAUCCUAUUGACUCUUGUGAUCCUCCUUUACAUCUUGGUUUCAGUUUGCAAAGAGUUUUAGAAAAAUACCGUUUAUCGUGGAUGUUGUUUUGGCUACCAAUUUCAAUUUGCAAUUGAUUUGUUAUGCUUUUCUCUAGCCUCCUAGAGAGUUAGGCUGUUUAAUUCCAAAAGCAAAAUUUCUAUUAUUGUCGCAAGUAUUCAUGACAUACUGAGAGGUUAAGAGUUGAUUAUUACACUAUUUGUUUCAAUUUUUUUAGGAAAAUCGAUCAGAAUUAUUUCACAGGUCAUGGAUCGGCAAUAUGACUGCAUUGACAUUAUUGUCAAUUGCUCACAAUGCAUUCUAUGGGCCUAUCCCCAAGGAGCUUGGAAACCUCAAGGACUUAAAUAUGCUGUCCUUUGGAAUAAAUAACUUCUCCGGAACACUCCCUCCCGAACUUGGUAAUUUGGUCAAGCUUCAACAACUCUAAAGUAAGGCGGAUUUACGAUAUUGCAAAUGUUUCGUCCUCCAUGAAUCUGAUUGAAAAGACCCACGCAGCAGAUACAAGGAAGCCUGCAUAUAAAUGGUUGGGAUUGAGAGGGAAAGAUGCUACAUGGGAGCAUAGUACGUAAGGUUGAUAGGAACAAUUCAGAGGACUCAAAAGAAAAUACAAAGAGCUACCAGUUUGGCUCUUUUGCCCCAGUUACUAUUGCCAGAGCUGGGAAUUUCAACAUGAAGAAAGGUUGACUGGGACAAUUUGUCCUCUACGUACUUACCGUCCCUAGUAUCAGAAUCAAGGUAUCAUCAUCUUAUGUUUCAGCCUGAUGUGCAGGUAUAUGAUAAGACAUACAAGGCUUAUAUAUAUGGACGCAAGAAAAAGUGAAACUAUUACUAAGCUAUCUUGGUUUGUAGAUUACUUGAUUAAUUGAAGAGCAAUGCUCUCUUCAGUACUUGCCUUACAAUUUCAAACAUUCUUUCUUGUUCAGUGUAGAUUAUUUUUUUACAAAAAGGGUUCUCAAUUUAGUCACUGUU
This is a long non-coding RNA of Rosa chinensis, 1237 nucleotides long. RefSeq lists it as uncharacterized. The record is from RefSeq and is a predicted model, not a curated record. NCBI's taxonomy places the organism in Eukaryota, Viridiplantae, Streptophyta, Magnoliopsida, Rosales, Rosaceae. The transcript is spliced from 5 exons.